CGAGUCGUUGUGCGGCGCCACAAAGAGCAGGUGCGCGGCGGUGAGCAGCAGGCGCUCGCGCGGCUCCCGCGUCUCGAUCACGUAGAAGACCUUCUUGGCGCCGUCGUCGCGGUCCAGGAAAUGGCAGGCUGCCGGCCGCUGAUAACGGAACACAUCGGAGUUGGGUCGCGAGACAGCAAUCAAAAGACAAAAAGAGUCUGAUUUUAAAUGGUAGCAAGCCUGGAGAGCUUGUGAGAGAGGCUGCCUUUAGCACUAUAUUAUAGCUGCCAGGGGCGCAUCUGAUUGGCCAAAGCCGCACAAGCUUGUCUUCUGAUGUUAACCCUGAAGAAGACUACG
RNAcentral lists this long non-coding RNA (336 nucleotides) under Homo sapiens (human). Its description in RNAcentral is "HSALNT0131331". The record is from RNAcentral. Lineage: Eukaryota; Metazoa; Chordata; Mammalia; Primates; Hominidae.